GACACCAACAAGCGCAAGAGAGACGAAGUAUUCAGGAGUCUCCGGUGCCGAACGGCCACUCGCUUCCGGGCAGAGACUUCCUCCGGAAGCAGAUGCGGGGAGACUUGUUCACACAGCAGCAGCUGGAGGUGCUGGACCGCGUGUUUGAGAGGCAGCACUACUCAGACAUCUUCACCACCACAGAGCCCAUCAAGCCCGAGCAGGAGUGAGUUUUCCGGGAGUCCCUACAGCCACCCUCAGUAUUCCUCGUACAACGACUCCUGGAGGUUCCCCAACCCGGGGCUGCUUGCUCCCCCUACUAUUAUAGCGCUGCCGCCCGAGGAGCCGCCCCACCUGCAGCCGCCACUGCCUAUGACCGUCACUGAC
This 366-nucleotide long non-coding RNA is filed under the name Homo sapiens (human). RNAcentral describes it as "non-protein coding lnc-RNF38-4:4". Lineage: Eukaryota; Metazoa; Chordata; Mammalia; Primates; Hominidae. The record is from RNAcentral.